Molecule: ribosomal RNA, 453 nt
Filed under: uncultured bacterium
Lineage: Bacteria
Description: bacterial SSU rRNA
Rfam family: Bacterial small subunit ribosomal RNA
Source: RNAcentral
CAAGUGGGGGAAUAUUGCACAAUGGGCGCAAGCCUGAUGCAGCCAUGCCGCGUGUAUGAAGAAGGCCUUCGGGUUGUAAAGUACUUUCAGCAGUGAGGAAGGUGGGUAUGUUAAUAGCAUAUUCAUUUGACGUUAGCUGCAGAAGAAGCACCGGCUAACUCCGUGCCAGCAGCCGCGGUAAUACGGAGGGUGCGAGCGUUAAUCGGAAUUACUGGGCGUAAAAGCGCAUGCAGGUGGUUUGUUAAGUCAGAUGUGAAAAGCCCGGGGCUCAACCUCGGAAUUGCAUUUGAAACUGGCAAACUAGAGUACUGUAGAGGGGGUAGAAUUUCAGGUGUAGCGGUGAAAAUGCGUAGAGAUCUGAAGGAAUACCGGUGGCGAAGGCGGCCCCCUGGACAGAUACUGACACUCAGAUGCGAAAGCGUGGGGAGCAAACAGGAUUAGAUACCCUGGUAG